ACUACUGGAAUGGUCUGGUACAAAUAUGUCCCCAAUCAGGAGCCUCAGAACUCCGGUCUAAUUUUACAGAGCAAACUAUCUGUGUGUGUAAGGAUUUGGCACCCUAAUAUCUUAUCACUUGAUGCUAUCAUACUUACAUGACGAGAGAAAGAACAAAAAAGGUAAGCAUAUUACCACUGAAGGCAGCUGAUGCAGUUGAGAAGAAAAAUAGGGAGAAGGUUAUCAUGCCUGAGAAGGAAUUGGGGGAAGGAAUUGAUUAAAUUCAUCAACUAACCGCUCCAUUGUCUGCAGCUGAUCAUACGGUGCAAUCUGCACCAUAAUACAGAAAUUCAAACUGACCAUCAAUUUCUGCCUAGACAACAUCACAUUAGGCCAAGUAGGCGAUUCAGCAAAUGGAUAUAUUGGUAGGUCAUGCAUGACUCCUUUUAUCUUAUUCGAGUAGGAGAUUGUUCAUACUUGGUCAAAGAAAAGAAACAAUAGAUAAAUACAGCAGCCAUUUGAAUUCUUUGUAGCUGCACUGGUCCAAAUAUGCAUGUGCUAAAAUCACCAGUCAUAAUCAGCCAAUUCAAAUAAUCUACUAUGACAACUAAAAUGAACAAAAAGAAGUCCUAGUCCAAAAUCAGCCAAUUCAAGUAUUCAAAAGAUCCUCUUUCAAACUUGACUGGUAUAUGCAAAUAUGAUGGAAGUUCACAAGCAUUACUGGUAUGGAUUCAGCGUGCUUUACACUAUAGUCAAAAGGAGUUAAAUUUUCAUGAUUCUCAUCAAGUUGACACAAUACCGUUGCCUUGUCACUCUGUCUAGUACCCCAGCAAUAAAAUGACCCCUGAUGCCAUUUUCUUUUAGUAAUUCUUAUAUGAAUUGAAUCAAACAAAACAUGUUUUAC
This 883-nucleotide long non-coding RNA is filed under the name Fragaria vesca (wild strawberry). RNAcentral's name for it is "long non-coding RNA (FVES_LNC000008)". Lineage: Eukaryota; Viridiplantae; Streptophyta; Magnoliopsida; Rosales; Rosaceae. The record is from RNAcentral.